GAUAAUGUUGUUGGGGUUUGUCAUGGAUGAGGUUAGUGUAGUGGUAAAGUUGUUAGUGGAUGAGAUAAAGAUGAUGGGUAAGGAUUGGUGUCAUUGGAUGAUUUGUUGUGAGGGAAAACUGAGAGGGGACUAAUGUGGGGCUCUCAUUGAUCGGAGUUGGGAUUGGUUGCUAAAGACGAGAGAGAAGGGUGUGAACAAAAGCAUAAGAAGGA
RNAcentral lists this long non-coding RNA (212 nucleotides) under Gossypium barbadense (sea-island cotton). RNAcentral's name for it is "long non-coding RNA (GBAR_LNC011582)". Lineage: Eukaryota; Viridiplantae; Streptophyta; Magnoliopsida; Malvales; Malvaceae. The record is from RNAcentral.